This 253-nucleotide ribosomal RNA is filed under the name uncultured bacterium. Its description in RNAcentral is "partial 16S ribosomal RNA". It matches the Rfam family "Bacterial small subunit ribosomal RNA", at positions 524 to 776 of the family's 1533-position model. The record is from RNAcentral.
UACGUAGGGGGCAAGCGUUGUCCGGAUUUAUUGGGCGUAAAGAGCGUGUAGGCGGCUUGGUAGGUCCGCUGUGAAAACUCGAGGCUCAACCUCGAGAUGUCGGCGGAAACCGCUUGGCUAGAGUCCGGAAGAGGAGAGUGGAAUUCCCGGUGUAGCGGUGAAAUGCGCAGAUAUCAGGAAGAACACCUAUGGCGAAGGCAGCUCUCUGGGACGGUACUGACGCUGAGACGCGAAAGCGUGGGGAGCGAACAGG